UGUCAACAUCGAUGUUUUUCAAAAAUCACAAACAUCGAUGUUUUUCGAGGAAUCAUCGAUGUUUUUCCUUCUCUACUGCGCAUUGGAGAAGAAAUGUCAUAUUGCAAAUUUAUUAUGACUUGCUGGUGGCGUUGGCUGGCGUCGUGGAAGACAUAGAUAAAUAUUUGAAAUGAGCAAUUAUUGGACCAGCGGCGGAUGAAAACGUAGACGACAAUAAGUUUCUUUUGUUUUAUUUAAAAUAAUGCAAUUUUAUUAUAG
This is a long non-coding RNA of Drosophila simulans, 258 nucleotides long. RefSeq lists it as uncharacterized. The transcript has 3 exons. Lineage: Eukaryota; Metazoa; Arthropoda; Insecta; Diptera; Drosophilidae. The record is from RefSeq and is a predicted model, not a curated record.